ACUACAUUUAAAGGGGGCAAAGGGGACCCUUAAGUAAGUUCCUCUCUAAGAGACACAAGAGCACACCCACUCUCUCUUUGUCAUUCUCUUUCCUUCACUAUUCUCAAGCUUCGAUUGACUAAAGCAUCAGAGGAUCCUCCAUCAAAGAAUCUUCAGUGAGUAUGGGCUUUCUUUUCAGAUUUUUCAAGAAGUGCGGCCAGUCUUCAGAAUGCUGCCAAACUCUAAGUCGGUAGG
Molecule: long non-coding RNA, 234 nt
Filed under: Elaeis guineensis (African oil palm)
Lineage: Eukaryota; Viridiplantae; Streptophyta; Magnoliopsida; Arecales; Arecaceae
Description: long non-coding RNA (EGUI_LNC068551)
Source: RNAcentral